AGAUUUCCAGGGCGAUGUCUUGAGCUAGGGAUCCAUGGGGUUCUGUCUUCGACCGUGUAGUUCAGGCAGGAGUUGGAGGAGAGAAGUUGAGCUCCAGUCCUUCUAUUCCUCCAUCUUAAUCCAAGAUCGCUGGAAGUUGUUGCUGAACAAGGAUGAGACCCAGAUGUCCCAGCUCCAAUCCUGGCAAAGGAGGACCCAGGGCAGCGUCCGCUGUCCUUAGAUAUUCGCAUGGCUGGGAGAAGCCACAGAAAUUGGCUGGAGAAUGUUUGCAGACCUGGGUCAUCAUCUGAACCACUUGCUGAGCUCUAAAAACAGGGAUCCCUGGGCUACCAUUCUUUGGAGGAACUAAUGAGCCGUGAAUGCCUCUCCGCUCUGCCAGCUUCAUGCCACCUCAUGACUGCUGCCACCUGCUCAAGAAGAUGGAGGCCUGGAGUUCCCAUCAUGGCUCAGUGGUAAUGAACCCAACUAGUAUCCAUGAGGACAUGGGUUCAAUCUCUGGUCUCGCUCAGUGGGUUAAGGACCUGGCGUUGCUGUGGCUGUGGUGAAGUCCGGCAGCUAUAGCUCCUAUUCAACUCUUGGCCCAGGAACUUCCAUAUGCUGGAGGUGAGGCCCCAAAAAGACAAAAGAAAAAAAAAAAAGGAUGGAGGCCUGUGGUCAUCCAGGCAGGUGUGUGAAGUGGAGGCACAGACUGGGGGUGACAAGGCAAAGGUGGCCCUUGCAGACAGGCUGGAGCUGGUUUGGGGCUCUGGGAAGGAUGGAUGCCCCAGCCCAGCCCGCUGGUAGGUUGCAGCUGCUGCUCUGACCUCCUUGCCUUUUCCUCUUCA
Molecule: long non-coding RNA, 824 nt
Filed under: Sus scrofa (pig)
Lineage: Eukaryota; Metazoa; Chordata; Mammalia; Artiodactyla; Suidae
Description: lncRNA (ENSSSCG00005004041.1)
Source: RNAcentral